RNAcentral lists this ribosomal RNA (269 nucleotides) under uncultured prokaryote. RNAcentral's name for it is "partial 16S ribosomal RNA". It matches the Rfam family "Bacterial small subunit ribosomal RNA", at positions 524 to 792 of the family's 1533-position model. The record is from RNAcentral.
UACGUAGGUGGCAAGCGUUGUCCGGAAUUACUGGGCGUAAAGGGCGUGUAGGUGGACUGAUCAGUCGGGUGUGAAAUAUCCGGGCUUAACCCGGAGGGUGCAUCCGAUACGGUCAGUCUUGAGUGCAGGAGAGGGCAGUGGAAUUCCCAGUGUAGCGGUGAAAUGCGUAGAUAUUGGGAGGAACACCAGUGGCGAAGGCGGCUGCCUGGACUGUAACUGACACUGAGGCGCGAAAGCGUGGGUAGCAAACAGGAUUAGAUACCCGCGUA